This 210-nucleotide ribosomal RNA is filed under the name uncultured bacterium. RNAcentral describes it as "partial 16S ribosomal RNA". It matches the Rfam family "Bacterial small subunit ribosomal RNA", at positions 1290 to 1500 of the family's 1533-position model. The record is from RNAcentral.
AGUUCGGAUUGAAGGCUGAAAUUCGCCUUCAUGAAGCCGGAAUUGCUAGUAAUGGCAGGUCAGCAUACUGCCGUGAAUACGUUCCCGGGCCUUGUACACACCGCCCGUCACACCAUGAGAGUUGGGGAUACCCGAAGCCUGUGAGCCAACUAUACGAGGCAGCAGUCGAAGGUAGAAUCAAUGAUUGGGGUGAAGUCGUAACAAGGUACC